This 998-nucleotide ribosomal RNA is filed under the name uncultured bacterium. RNAcentral describes it as "bacterial SSU rRNA". It matches the Rfam family "Bacterial small subunit ribosomal RNA", at positions 509 to 1504 of the family's 1533-position model. The record is from RNAcentral.
CAGCAGCCGCGGUAAUACGAAGGUCCCGAGCGUUAUUCGGAAUCACUGGGCGUAAAGAGUACGUAGGCGGUUUGGUAAGUCAGAUGUGAAAUCCCAGGGCUCAACCCUGGAACUGCAUCCGAUACUGCCUGACUUGAGUAAUGGAGGGGUAACUGGAAUUCUCGGUGUAGCAGUGAAAUGCGUAGAUAUCGAGAGGAAGACCAACGGCGAAGGCAGGUUACUGGACAUUUACUGACGCUGAGGCUCGAAGGCUAGGGUAGCGAAAGGGAUUAGAUACCCCUGUAGUCCUAGCAGUAAACGGUGCGCGCUUGGUGUAGGAGGACUCGACCCCUUCUGUGCCGGAGCUAACGCGUUAAGCGCGCCGCCUGGGGAGUACGGUCGCAAGACUAAAACUCAAAGAAAUUGACGGGGACCCGCACAAGCGGUGGAGUAUGUGGCUUAAUUCGAUGCAACGCGAAGAACCUUACCAAGGCUUGACAUGUAUUGCUAAGCACGUGAAAGCGUGUGACCCUUCGGGGACCUUACACAGGUGCUGCAUGGCCGUCGUCAGCUCGUGUCGUGAGAUGUUUGGUUAAGUCCAGCAACGAGCGCAACCCCUGUGAAUAGUUGCCAGCACGUAAUGGUGGGGACUCUAUUCAGACUGCCCAGGUCAACUGGGAGGAAGGUGGGGAUGACGUCAGGUCAGUAUGGCCCUUACGCCUUGGGCUGCACACGUACUACAAUGCCCAGUACAAUGAGAACCGAUACCGCGAGGUGGAGGAAAUCUGCAAAACUGGGCCCAGUUCGGAUUGGAGGCUGCAACUCGCCUCCAUGAAGUUGGAAUCGCUAGUAAUGGCACAUCAGCUACGGUGCCGUGAAUACGUUCCCGGGUCUUGUACACACCGCCCGUCACAUCAUGGAAGCCGAUCGCACCCGAAGUAUCUGCGCUAACUAUUUAUAGAAGCAAGGUCCUAAGGUGUAGUUGGUAACUAGGAUGAAGUCGUAACAAGGUAGCCGUA